This 465-nucleotide ribosomal RNA is filed under the name uncultured bacterium. Its description in RNAcentral is "partial 16S ribosomal RNA". It matches the Rfam family "Bacterial small subunit ribosomal RNA", at positions 28 to 506 of the family's 1533-position model. The record is from RNAcentral.
GUUGAACGCUGGCGGCGUGCUUAACACAUGCAAGUCGAACGGAAAGGCCCAAGCUUGCUUUGGUGCUCGAGUGGCGAACGGGUGUGUAACACGUGGAUCAUCCUCCCUGCACUUUGGGAUAUGCCGGGGAAGCUGCGUCUAAUACCGGAUAGGACCGUCGUAUAGUGUGGGUGGUUGAAAGCUCUUCGGUUUGGGUUGAGCUCGCGGCCUAUCAGCUUGUUGUGGGGGUAAUGGCCUACCAAGCCGUAGACGGUUAGCCGACCUGAGAGGGUGUACGUCCACAUUGGGACUGCGAGACGGCCCAGACUCCUACGGGAGACAGCAGUCGGGAGCAUUGCACAAUGGGCGCGAGCCUGAUGAAGCGGCGCCGCGUGGGGGAUGACGGCUUUCGGGUUGUGAACUGCUUUCGCUAAGGACGAAGCGUUUUGUAACGGUCCUAGAGGAAGAGGCACCGCCAACCUAGGU